This 512-nucleotide long non-coding RNA is filed under the name Homo sapiens (human). RNAcentral describes it as "HSALNT0239518". The record is from RNAcentral. Lineage: Eukaryota; Metazoa; Chordata; Mammalia; Primates; Hominidae.
GGAGACAUGAGACAGCAAUCAGUAUGUAUAAGAUGUACAUUGGUUCCAUCUGGAAAGGGGACAACUCGAGGUGAAGGCGGGACAACUCAAAGCGCGGAGGGGGCUUCCAGAUCAUAGGUCCACCCUGAUUUCAGCGGGCGUUCCUGGGUCUUGUAUGCACUAGGUGCCCUCAAUGCUUGGCAACUGGAAUGGGUUAGCCUGGAGGCAUUUAGGCUGUCCUUCUACAACCACAGAAGAGCCAUCACUGGCAGAGAGAUCCUUGGCGCAGUUAAGCAGAGAUCUUCUCAGAAGAGCUUUUGAAUAAAUGAAGUUGUUCAGAAUGGCCUUGUUAAAAUGACUCACUUGUCAAAAAACUAGAUGUGUUGGAAGGCUGGGUUGGAAGACAAGAUGUCUGAGAAGCUGUCCUGCUGCAUGAGGAGUUUCAUUGCUACACACCUAGUCUCUGGGUCCUGUGUUUUUGGCCUCCAGCUUACUUCGUGAACAUAAUAAAGGAAAGGCAUUUUCUCUUGUGC